AUUGCUAAUCUAUCUUUUAUUCUCUAUACCGUUGAAUUAAUAAACAUCGUUCCUCUGUAUUUACCUUUUGUGUUUUUUCUUUACAAAUUCAAUCUUGUGUUUUCGUGGUGUGAUCUAGUAUACUUCAAUAUUGUUAUUAAAUUUCGUUCUUUAUAAUUCGGUUUGGAAUCAACAUGUGUUAUUGAAGUUUCCACGCCCAACAAAAUAGAGGCUUAAUCAAUCUUUUCCAAAUAAACCUGAAAUCGAAGUAGCUUUAUAAAGAGGUGAUAAAUGCUUUCUUGGAUCAUCUGCAUCCCCUCAUAUCUAGAUACAAGUCACUUUGAAGAAAAUGAUACUUUAGAUUCACGUUUUCAUAAGCAUGCGCCAACUUUUUUCUUCGAACGUCAUAUGAUAAAAGACUCCUAAUACGGUGGUCUUCUGUGACAUGGCGCCAUCCGUGCACGUAUUGCUGUUAGAAACCCAGACUAAAACUCUCAUUGGUGCAUAAGAUUUUAUGGUCCAAAAUUCCCACCAAGUUUCUCAAACACAACAAAUAUACGUAACAACUAACGAAUGAAUGGGUAAAAGGAAGGUAUAUGUGGAAAAAUCUUAGGGGUGCUCAAAGAAGAAAUGGCAUCCUACUCAGACCAUGUUUCUCAUAAUCUGUUACUUGUCAUUCGUUCGAAAUGUGUACUAGAAGCCUUGGAUUUCGUGGCAUAGUAGGUACCUUUUAUAUUUCUUAUCCACUCUUUUUUAACCAAACUAAAUGUUUUGCCAAUUCAAUCCGUGAUAUAAAAGACCCUAGAAAUCAACCAUUACAUAAUUUCAUAACUCUUUUUGUACAAACUGAAUACUUGUCGAGUCAAACAAUUCCUAGUUAAACCCGAAUUAACAUGUUUUUGUGUCUUUAUAUUAACUAAAUUGAUAGAAUAAAGAAAUAUAAGGGACUACUUAUUAUUGAUAAUUUCUAUUUUUUCUUUUUAAAAUUAUAAUCUUUUGUGCUGUCAAUGCUUUUAUGACUCAAAAGUAAUAAGCCUUUCUCAUGAAUGACGUCAUGAUAUAUGAAUCUAAUGUAUUAUUUGGACUCAAAAAUAUUUUAUGUUAUCUCACCUUUUUUCUAUGUGCGAGUGGGAGAAGUAACAUUAUUGCACAACUCUUAUCAUACCCAAUCUAGUGGAAUUUAGUUUGGUCUAUUAGAGGCAGUUUACAUAUCUAUUUAAAAGUUUAAAUCGUUAUACGUUU
This 1221-nucleotide long non-coding RNA is filed under the name Olea europaea subsp. europaea. The record is from RNAcentral. Lineage: Eukaryota; Viridiplantae; Streptophyta; Magnoliopsida; Lamiales; Oleaceae.